GGGAGAGAGAGAGAAAAAGAGAGUUGACGAGGGGAUCAGAAACUUACCCACAACCCCUGGAUCGCCCACUUGGAUGAAACCACA
This is a long non-coding RNA of Telopea speciosissima, 84 nucleotides long. RefSeq lists it as uncharacterized. The record is from RefSeq and is a predicted model, not a curated record. The transcript has 3 exons. NCBI's taxonomy places the organism in Eukaryota, Viridiplantae, Streptophyta, Magnoliopsida, Proteales, Proteaceae.